Molecule: transfer RNA, 77 nt
Filed under: Chloroflexota bacterium
Lineage: Bacteria; Bacillati; Chloroflexota
Description: Chloroflexi bacterium tRNA-Glu
Rfam family: tRNA
About the family: Transfer RNA (tRNA) molecules are approximately 80 nucleotides in length.
Source: RNAcentral
GGCGCAUUCGUCUGGAGGUCAAGGACACCGUUCUCUCAGGAUGGAGAUCACGGGUUCAAAUCCCCUAUGCGCUUCCA